UUAAUUGAAGAGUUUGAUCAUGGCUCAGAUUGAACGCUGGCGGCAGGCCUAACACAUGCAAGUCGAGCGGCAGCACAGAGGAACUUGUUCCUUGGGUGGCGAGCGGCGGACGGGUGAGUAAUGCCUGGGAAAUUGCCCGGUAGAGGGGGAUAACCAUUGGAAACGAUGGCUAAUACCGCAUACCCUCGCCAGACCAAAGCAGGGGACCUUCGGGCCUUGCGCUACCGGAUAUGCCCAGGUGGGAUUAGCUAGUUGGUGAGGUAAGAGCUCACCAAGGCGACGAUCCCUAGCUGGUCUGUGAGGAUGAUCAGCC
RNAcentral lists this ribosomal RNA (313 nucleotides) under Vibrio cholerae. RNAcentral's name for it is "bacterial SSU rRNA". It matches the Rfam family "Bacterial small subunit ribosomal RNA", at positions 1 to 309 of the family's 1533-position model. The record is from RNAcentral. Lineage: Bacteria; Pseudomonadati; Pseudomonadota; Gammaproteobacteria; Vibrionales; Vibrionaceae.